GGCUGUCUCCACCCGAGACUCAGUGAAAUUGAACUCGCUGUGAAGAUGCAGUGUACCCGCGGCAAGACGGAAAGACCCCGUGAACCUUUACUAUAGCUUGACACUGAACAUUGAGCCUUGAUGUGUAGGAUAGGUGGGAGGCUUUGAAGUGUGGACGCCAGUCUGCAUGGAGCCGACCUUGAAAUACCACCCUUUAAUGUUUGAUGUUCUAACGUUGGCCCCUAAUCGGGGUUGCGGACAGUGUCUGGUGGGUAGUUUGACUGGGGCGGUCUCCUCCUAAAGAGUAACGGAGGAGCACGAAGGUUGGCUAAUCCUGGUCGGACAUCAGGAGGUUAGUGCAAUGGCAUAAGCCAGCUUGACUGCGAGCGUGACGGCGCGAGCAGGUGCGAAAGCAGGUCAUAGUGAUCCGGUGGUUCUGAAUGGAAGGGCCAUCGCUCAACGGAUAAAAGGUACUCCGGGGAUAACAGGCUGAUACCGCCCAAGAGUUCAUAUCGACGGCGGUGUUUGGCACCUCGAUGUCGGCUCAUCACAUCCUGGGGCUGAAGUAGGUCCCAAGGGUAUGGCUGUUCGCCAUUUAAAGUGGUACGCGAGCUGGGUUUAGAACGUCGUGAGACAGUUCGGUCCCUAUCUGCCGUGGGCGCUGGAGAACUGAGGGGGGCUGCUCCUAGUACGAGAGGACCGGAGUGGACGCAUCACUGGUGUUCGGGUUGUCAUGCCAAUGGCACUGCCCGGUAGCUAAAUGCGGAAGAGAUAAGUGCUGAAAGCAUCUAAGCACGAAACUUGCCCCG
Molecule: ribosomal RNA, 788 nt
Filed under: Escherichia coli
Lineage: Bacteria; Pseudomonadati; Pseudomonadota; Gammaproteobacteria; Enterobacterales; Enterobacteriaceae
Description: partial 23S ribosomal RNA
Rfam family: Bacterial large subunit ribosomal RNA
Source: RNAcentral